Patella vulgata (common limpet) is the source of this 5118-nucleotide long non-coding RNA. RefSeq lists it as uncharacterized. The record is from RefSeq and is a predicted model, not a curated record. The transcript has 6 exons. NCBI's taxonomy places the organism in Eukaryota, Metazoa, Mollusca, Gastropoda, Patellidae.
UAAACAGAGUUGUGGUUGUAUUGCGAAAUGAAUAAAAUGUAAGGUACCCGGUAAUAGUUAAUCUAUGAAACGCUGCAAAAUCUGAACGAUCAAUAGUAAUGCCGGUAAUUGUUGCAUGCCAUGAGAAUGAAAUACUCGUUGUUUCAGGUUGUUGUCUUCAUGAGCCAAAAAUAGUAAAAGAUGGAGUAACUUUCGUAUGGCCAGUACUUCAGACAGGGGACAGAUUGUGCACCAAACCUUUUGUUAUAAAAGUAGACCUCAAGAAUCAGCCAACCCAAAACGUCACAGUAUUUGUAAAUCUAAAGGCCGAGGUUUCUAUGGGAAUUGCAGUGGAUCAUGAUGAGCUUUUACGUGAAGCAAUUAGUUCAUUUCUGUCUAAAUCACAAGAUCAAAUACAAAAGGCUUUACAAGGAACUGUUGAAGGUAUUCUGAGUACUGUUUUAGGAGCAGUGCUUCCAGAGGACUUGAAGACUAAGGCAGAAGCUUGUAAAAGAGGAGUAUUUGAAAGUCUCGCUUCUGAGUGUAUAAAUAUGGGCAUCUGUGUUAAAAGUAUCAAUGAUUUUGAGGUUUCUAAUGACCAUGGGUUUUAUAAAAAUUUGGAAACGAAAUAAAUGAAACUAAAGCCAAGGAAAAUGAUGAAUUUAAAUUAAAAUAUGACUAAAAUAAACCUGUUUGUACUAAUGCAUAAAAUUUGGCUUGGUGUAUGAAAAAAUGGACAAUUUGUAAAAAUUUUACAAAUGAAAUUCAGUAGACGAUAAAUAUUUAUAUUAUAUGUAUAGUUGUGAGAGAAGAGAUGUCAGUCUAAUUGAGUGAGAGUGAUGAAACUUGAGGUAUAGUUUCAUUAUAUCAAUACUACGACCAAGUGAUAAGCAAUUUGAUUGCCCAAUGCUUUAUGAAAAGAUAAAUGUGCAAGCAAUUUUCUAUGACUUAUUUCAUUUCCAAGUAUAUGCGUUGGAUGUUUUUUGUCUAGUAAAACCCAGUUUCUAAUAAAUUUCAAAAAUUGAAUGCAAUAAAUCGGUUCAGUAGAUGUUGAGAAAAAUGCAUUUUUUAUACAAAGAUACCAUAUAAUUCGUUCUAUAUUGGUAUCAUUUGUAAUCGCUUGAGUCAAUUCAAGUCCUGGGUUAAGGUGGUGUAGUGUUUAACACCAGUUAGAUCAGUGUAGCACUAGUGUAAUGCUGGGCUUACUCAACCUCUGUAUUUGAAAUCAAUCCUAGUUUUGUGCAACAUUAUCUCCAGUUACGUAAAAAUUUGUUAGAUAAUAAUAGCUUGAUAAAAGAUAUUAUUUUGUUAAAAAUAACUCUAGCACUAACCCGUAGUUGUUAAAAUCUAAGUACAAGUCAUUUAUUACAACACUGGUGUGAAACAGCAGAUGGCAAAAAGGGAAUGUCUUUUAAGGCUUUUAGAUUUAGUUUUAAGGCUUAAAAUGAUUUUAACCCAUAUAUGGACAAAACAUAAGACAAAGAAAUGUUGGUCGCAGACCUGCUGGUUUACGAGAAUUUCAGAUGGGAAAUUUCGACUAAAUAAUGAUCAAAUGAGACAACAACCAGCGACUACCAGGCAGGAUACGCCCACAUUUUGCAAGAGAUGGAUAGAGAACUAGCUAAAAACAAACCAGAUUUUUUGUACAAUCAGGGGCAAUAAUCCAGAAAGUUAUGGUCUGAAAUGCGCAAAUAUCAAAAGGGACUGAGAUCUUUGAGAUAUAAAGAUAAGUUUUAAGUUUCAUCAAAAUCGCAUAAAAAUUGUGACCUCUAGAGGGUCCACAACCUUCAUAUUGCAUACUUUUACACAAUGUGCUUAUAAAGAGCGGCCAUUUUGUCAGGCAGUUUCAUUUCGAUUUUCCCGAAAUUCGAAUUCAACCUUCAUUAUGGUGGAAUGGUGAUAUAUUUAAACGGUUUUUAAAAUCAGAAGAAAAAAAUUGUGCAAGCUAAAAAUGCGAUUUUUUGAACAAUCAGGAGCCAUAAUCCAGGAAGUUACGUUCGGAUAUUAUCACAAGGAACCACGAUCUUAGUGUGUAAUGGUGAUGUAUUCACAUGUUUUGUUUUUUUUAAAUCGGAUAAAAAUUGUGAACUCUAAAGGGACCACAAGCUAAAAACGUACAAUCAGGGGCCAUAAUUCAGGAAGUUACGAUCCGAUAUGUGCGAAUAUCAAAAGGAACCUAGAUAUUUGGGUUAUAAACAUGUAUUUCAAGUUUCAUCCAAAUCGGAUCAAAAUUGUGAACUCGAGAGGGUCCACAACUUUGAUAUACCAGAUGCAUGUUUAGACUAAUUAGUGUACGAGGGGUGGCCAUUUUGUCCGGCAAUUUUCGUCCGAUUUUCACGAAAUUCGAAUUCAACCAAAAUUACGGUGUAACGGUGAUAUAUUUGAACGGUUUUUUUUUUAAAUCGGAUUUUUCGUACAAUCAGGAGCCAUAAUUCAGGAAGUUACGAUCAGAUAUGCGCGAAUAUCGUUAGGAACCAAGAUCUUUGGGUUAUAAACUUACAUUUCAAGUUUCAUUAAAGAAGAAAAUUGUGGCCAUUUUGUCUGGUUUUUGUCCGAUUUUUACGAAAUUCGAUCUCAACCAUCCUUAGGGUGUAACGGUGACAUGUUCAAACGGUUUUUUAAAUCGGAUAAAGAUUCGUACAAUCAAGAGCCAUAAUUCAGGAAGUUACGGUCCGAUAUAUGGCUUAUCCCUCAUUUCAGCCAAAACGCCGAUACAACUCUUCUAGAUCCUAGUGUAGUAAAUAUAAAAGGCAAGUAAAACGAAAUUUUGAACAAUAAAAAACGAAAUGAAAUAGGAUCUGUGUUUAAUCAGGUUGGUGUUAAACACUACACCACCAUAGACUUGAAUGAACUCAAUCUAUAUUAUUAUUAAUUAAACUCAAGCUGUGCCCAGCUAAUACAUAUUUUUAAAUGAUGGAAAUAAUUUCAAUUGUUUUAAAUGGUGCCCCUAGAAUAUUUUUAUUACUGAUGAAUAUGUAAUGAUAUUUUUAAUUAUUUAUAAGUUGUUAUACGCCCACAUUCCACAUUUCCAUGUGGACAUAUUAUGUCGUCGCCCAUAUUAAUUAUACUCAAGUUGUGCCCAUAACUAAUAUAUCUUUUUAAAUGAUGGAAAUAUUUUCAGUUGUUUUAAAUGGUGCCCCUAGUAUAUUUUUAUUACUGAUAAAUAUAUUAUGUAAUGAUGUUUUUAAUUAUUUAUAAAUUGUUAUACGCCCACAUUCCACAUUUUCAUAUGGAUGUAUUAUGUCGUCGCCCCUGUCAGUCUUGAUUCAUUUUGAUAUUGUUAUGUAUCGGAUCAAAACUUCAUGAAUCAUGGCCCUAGAUUGUACGAAAAAUCACAUUUUUAGCUUGUAGACACUCUAGAGGUCACAAUUUUUAACCGAUUUAGAUGAAACUUGAAAUGUAUGUUUAUAACCAAAAGACCUUGGCCCCUUUCGAUAUUCCCGCAUAUCGGAAAGCAACUUUCUAGAUUAUGGCUCCUGAUAUAUGAAAAAUCUCGUUUUUAACUUGUCCCCCCCCCCCCCGAGGUCACAAUUUUUACCUGAUUUAAAAACAACGUUCAAAUAUAUCACCAUUACACCAUGAUGAUCGUUGAGUUUGAGUUUCGUUAAAUCGGACCAAAAUUGCUGUACGCAAUGGCCACUUCUCUAUGCAAAUGGUGUAAUUUUUAUCCGAUUUUGAUGAAACUUAAAAUGCAAAAAUGUGGGUUCCUUUCGAUACAUGCGCAUAUCGGAUGGUAACUUCCUGAAUUUUGGCCCCUGAUUGUAUGAAAAAUCUUUUUUUUUAGCUUCAGGAACCUGCAGGUCACAAUUUUUAUUUGAUUUAAAAAAAACGUUUAAAUAUAUCACCGUACCCCACCUUUUUCCGGUCUUGAUGAAACUUAAAAUAUAUGUUUCUAUCCAAAAGAUCUUGGUUCCUUUUGAUAUUCGUGCAUAUCGAACCGUAAUUUCCUGGAUUAUGGUCCCUGAUUGUACCAAAAGUUGAAUAUUUUUUUUAGCUUGUUCUCUAUCCAUCUCUCGCAAUAUGUGGGCGUAUAUUGCAUGGAAACUGCUUGUUUUGAAUUGUUUUAUUAUUCUUGUAUGAUUAGUCUCUUCCUAAGAUGUAUAUAUUUUAAACUAAGUAUUGUCUAUGUUUUAUAUUCUAUAAACUUACAUAUUAUGUACCUAUUAUUCACUCUAAUUUAAAAUAAUGCAUUUUAGAAAAACUAAAAUAGUUGGCAGGGAGGAAGAUACUGAGAAAUGUAUUGAGAUAUUAAUGAAGUGUGGUUCACAUUGAGCCUGGAUUUGUCUGUGCUGGUGGUGCUGUCUGUGCUGCAGGUACCGUGUCCCAAAAUGAUUUUUCAGAAUGUGCUUGUAUCUGGUGAAUUAUAAGGUUAUCUCCGAAGAUUGAAAGAUCCAAAUGACAAUGUGAUCAUUUUUGGACACUAAAUAUCCCAAGUUGAAAAUUGCAUAGGUAACACAAUUUGGCUACCGAUAUUUUAGUAUUUUUAUUUUUCAUUUUCAAAAUAUCUUAGUGAUGUAUUAUUUGUCAUGCUUACACAUCGUUAUAUCUGUGACACAAAGUUUGGGCAAUGGAUGGCCAUAUCAAAUGUCAACACCCUCAUAGACUUUGGUAUGAUAUAUAUUAGUUUUACCCAAACUGUUCACCAGCCUUUUGGAAGCCAUGGUGGCUCAGUGAGUAAGAUGUUGGCUCGCUAACCUAGCGGUUCCGUGUUCUAUCAGUGCAUUGGCUGAAAAUGUUCAUCAGGAUUUUUUGGCGUGACUCCCCCCUGUCAGUGGUGCAGGACAGAGGGCCUUGCAAGGGACAACAUAUGGAAACAAAAACUAAGGUCCCUGUGUACACAUUGGCAUGCGCAUAAAAGAUCCCUUGGCAGUUGGAAUUCAUAUAAGAAUAGGCUGUAGCGAUGUUGUCUGGGCAAAAUUUCCCUCAUGGCACACUGUAUGGCUUAUGACGUUAAACCCAAUUCAUUUUAUUUCCACCAGCCUUUUACAUUUAAACACUAUAUUUUUCUACUAUCUGCUAGCUGUAUCAUAUUUAAUUCAUAAUUUUGAUCUAUAAUUGUUUUAUGAAGUUUAUAUUGCAUAUUAAAUCUACAAUUUAGUUUAUAAUUUUAUACAAAAUAAUAAAAUCUAUUGAAAUGCG